GAUGAACGCUGGCGGCGUGCCUAAUACAUGCAAGUCGAGCGAAGCGGGGACGGGUGAGUAACACGUGGAUAACCUCCUAUAAGACUGGGAUAACUUCGGGAAACCGGAGCUAAACCGGAUAAUUAUAGAUGGAUCCGCGCGGCAGUAGCUAGUUGGUAAGGUAACGGCUUACCAAGGCAACGAUGCAUAGCCGACCUGAGAGGGUGUUCGGCCACACUGGAACUGAGAGACGGUCCAGACGCCUACGGGAGGCAGCAGUAGGGAAUCUUAGGAAAUGGGCGAAAGCCUGACUGAGCAACGCCGCGUGAGUGAUGAAGGUCUUCGGAUCGUAAAACUCUGUUAUUAGGGAAGCGGUACCUAAUCAGAAAGCCACGGCUAACUACGUGCCAGCCGCCGCGGUAAUAC
RNAcentral lists this ribosomal RNA (405 nucleotides) under uncultured bacterium. RNAcentral's name for it is "partial 16S ribosomal RNA". It matches the Rfam family "Bacterial small subunit ribosomal RNA", at positions 28 to 526 of the family's 1533-position model. The record is from RNAcentral.